GAAAUGCGAUAAGUAAUGUGAAUUGCAGAAUUCAGUGAAUCAUCGAAUCUUUGAACGCACCUUGCGCUCCUUGGUAUUCCGAGGAGCAUGCCUGUUUGAGUGUCAUUAAAUUCUCAACCAUCCUGUCUUUCUUUCGAGAGGCGGCGAUGCGUUGGAUGUGGGGACUUGCCUGUUUCUUACGAGACUUCGGCUUCCCUUAAAAGCAUUAGCUAGAGCGCUUCUGUUGACUAGCUGCUAGUGUGAUAAUUAUCUACACUGUGGCCAACGAAGGAAACUCUGCUUCUAAUCGUCUGCUUGCAGACAACUUCUGAUAUCUUGACCUCAAAUCAGGUAGGACUACCCGCUGAACUUAA
Molecule: unclassified non-coding RNA, 353 nt
Filed under: uncultured Bolbitius
Lineage: Eukaryota; Fungi; Basidiomycota; Agaricomycetes; Agaricales; Bolbitiaceae
Description: sequence contains ITS1
Rfam family: 5.8S ribosomal RNA (bases 1-105)
Source: RNAcentral